AUUACUAGUUGAUGUAGGUUCAAAUACAUCGUUAGCUUGUCGAUCCAUUUGGGGGAUUUGGCAUUAGAACUCAACUAUGCUACCAUGGUAAAAUAAGAUAUUCAAACACUACUAAUCUCCUUCAACUAGAAAAAAUUAAGUAUUCGCAAUCCUGAAAAGGGAAAAUAUAUAAUGGUAUGAAGGUCAGUUUCACAUUGCAGUUAAGCAGAUUGAAUACCCGACACGGAUGAAAAAUCUCUAAUGGCAUAUACAAGACAGUUUGAGUCAUGAUUACUCCCAUUCCAAGCUGCAUUAAGUAAUCUAGCUACCAUUAAUUGUCUAGUGGAAUAUAAUUCAAAUUAUCUAAUAGCAAAUAAUUAUCAAUUUUAAUCAUAGAAAGGGUACAAAUUUCAAGGUUGAUGUAAUUUUCUCAACCCAUUUGGGAAAAUAACAAAUGGGUUCAGAUACAAGCUUACCAUAUACAUCACAAACUCGAUCUUUACACAUUGUCUCCCAAAACUCAUGUCCUAAAAAAACAUAAAAAUCAAAACCCAGUAAAAUAAAUAAAAAUGACAAAAACCCAAAACAAAUAUCAUAAAAGACAUGAUAUAUGAUUGAGAAAAAUGCAGAUUGAUAUAUGAUGCAUUGAGAAAAAUGCAGAUUGAACAGUGAGGUGAAAAUAAAUGUGUAAUUUAUUCAUAAAAGACAUAAUAUAUGAUUGAGGCAUAAAAUACCCAGGAAUUGAAUGGCUUCACAAGUACUAGCAACAAAGAUUUAGAAAUGACAAUUAAACAAUUUCUAAUUCAUUACAUAAAAUAAAAAGGGAAAUUAAAGAAAGAAAGAAAGUAAACAAACCUGAGGGAUGAGCAAGAGGAAGAAUCUAACAAAAACAAAAAUUCCCUUUUUCCUAUAUUUUUUUUAUUUGGUUGAGCUUCCUUGUACCGUUGGUGUUCUAAAAGAGGUCAAUAACCUGUCCGCAAUCCGUGAAGGUAGGAGCACAACUCUCCCUCUUCC
This 993-nucleotide long non-coding RNA is filed under the name Panax ginseng (ginseng). Its description in RNAcentral is "long non-coding RNA (PGIN_LNC008824)". Lineage: Eukaryota; Viridiplantae; Streptophyta; Magnoliopsida; Apiales; Araliaceae. The record is from RNAcentral.